RNAcentral lists this ribosomal RNA (253 nucleotides) under uncultured bacterium. RNAcentral describes it as "partial 16S ribosomal RNA". It matches the Rfam family "Bacterial small subunit ribosomal RNA", at positions 524 to 776 of the family's 1533-position model. The record is from RNAcentral.
UACGAAGGGGGCUAGCGUUGUCCGGAAUUAUUGGGCGUAAAGAGCUCGUAGGCGGUUUGUCGCGUCUGCUGUGAAAACUCGGGGCUUAACUCCGGGCCUGCAGUGGGUACGGGCAGACUAGAGUGCGGUAGGGGAGACUGGAAUUCCUGGUGUAGCGGUGAAAUGCGCAGAUAUCAGGAGGAACACCGGUGGCGAAGGCGGGUCUCUGGGCCGUAACUGACGCUGAGGAGCGAAAGCGUGGGGAGCGAACAGG